This 478-nucleotide ribosomal RNA is filed under the name uncultured bacterium. RNAcentral's name for it is "SSU rRNA". It matches the Rfam family "Bacterial small subunit ribosomal RNA", at positions 26 to 518 of the family's 1533-position model. The record is from RNAcentral.
AGGACGAACGCUGGCGGCGUGCUUAACACAUGCAAGUCGAACGGAAAGGCCCGCUUGCGGGUACUCGAGUGGCGAACGGGUGAGUAACACGUGGGCAACCUGCCCUCAGCUUCGGGAUAACACUUGGAAACAGGUGCUAAUACCGGAUAAUAACCUUUCAUCGCAUGGUGUGGGGUUCAAAGUUUUUCGGCUGGGGAUGGGCCCGCGGCCUAUCAGCUUGUUGGUGGGGUAAUGGCCUACCAAGGCGACGACGGGUAGCCGGCCUGAGAGGGCGACCGGCCACACUGGGACUGAGACACGGCCCAGACUCCUACGGGAGGCAGCAGUGGGGAAUAUUGCGCAAUGGGCGGAAGCCUGACGCAGCGACGCCGCGUGAGGGAUGACGGCCUUCGGGUUGUAAACCGUCUUUCAGCUCUGACGAAGCGCAAGUGACGGUAGGAGCAGAAGAAGCACCGGCCAACUACGCGCCAGCAGCCGC